GCUUCCUUUGCAUUCAAAAUUUCACAAGCAUUCACAUUACAGGCUGAUGCACCUUCAAAGUUAGCAGGAUCCUUGUCGGCUUCAUCCUCCAAUUUACUGAUUCUGGCAGAAGCCGAUUGAGGUGUUUCUACAUUCGACCAUAAUGAUUUAUAUGAUGGAACCCAGGAAAACUUCCCAUUGUGAUCAACAGAGCCUUUUCUGCGGC
Molecule: unclassified non-coding RNA, 205 nt
Filed under: Hevea brasiliensis (rubber tree)
Lineage: Eukaryota; Viridiplantae; Streptophyta; Magnoliopsida; Malpighiales; Euphorbiaceae
Source: RNAcentral